This 253-nucleotide ribosomal RNA is filed under the name uncultured bacterium. RNAcentral's name for it is "partial 16S ribosomal RNA". It matches the Rfam family "Bacterial small subunit ribosomal RNA", at positions 524 to 776 of the family's 1533-position model. The record is from RNAcentral.
UACAGAGGUCUCAAGCGUUGUUCGGAUUCAUUGGGCGUAAAGGGUGCGUAGGUGGCGGGGCAAGUCUGGUGUGAAAUCCCGGGGCUCAACCCUGGAACUGCACUGGAUACUGCCUUGCUAGAGUACUGGAGAGGGAACUGGAAUUUACGGUGUAGCAGUGAAAUGCGUAGAUAUCGUAAGGAAGACCAGUGGCGAAGGCAGGUCUCUGGACAGUUCCUGACGCUGAGGCACGAAGGUCAGGGGAGCAAACGGG